CAUAAAAUUAGUUAAUUCUAAUAACAUUAGUUUGUCAAACUAAAAUAAUCUUUUUGAUAUUUUUU
RNAcentral lists this transfer RNA (65 nucleotides) under Cherax robustus. RNAcentral's name for it is "tRNA-Asp". The record is from RNAcentral. Lineage: Eukaryota; Metazoa; Arthropoda; Malacostraca; Decapoda; Parastacidae.